GAUGAACGCUGGCGGUGUGCCUAAUACAUGCAAGUCGAGCGAACAGAUAAGGAGCUUGCUCCUUUGACGUUAGCGGCGGACGGGUGAGUAACACGUGGGUAACCUACCUAUAAGACUGGAAUAACUCCGGGAAACCGGGGCUAAUGCCGGAUAACAUUUAGAACCGCAUGGUUCUAAAGUGAAAGAUGGUUUUGCUAUCACUUAUAGAUGGACCCGCGCCGUAUUAGCUAGUUGGUAAGGUAACGGCUUACCAAGGCAACGAUACGUAGCCGACCUGAGAGGGUGAUCGGCCACACUGGAACUGAGACACGGUCCAGACUCCUACGGGAGGCAGCAGUAGGGAAUCUUCCGCAAUGGGCGAAAGCCUGACGGAGCAACGCCGCGUGAGUGAUGAAGGUCUUCGGAUCGUAAAACUCUGUUAUUAGGGAAGAACAAAUGUGUAAGUAACUGUGCACGUCUUGACGGUACCUAAUCAGAAAGCCACGGCUAACUACGUG
RNAcentral lists this ribosomal RNA (497 nucleotides) under uncultured bacterium. RNAcentral describes it as "partial 16S ribosomal RNA". It matches the Rfam family "Bacterial small subunit ribosomal RNA", at positions 28 to 507 of the family's 1533-position model. The record is from RNAcentral.